UUUCCUGAUUCCACUGGUCUCCAGAGGAGUUCCUCUGCAUGACUCCCUCCAGUUCAGCAAGAGUAUCUCCUGGGGUCGUGGAGUUUUCGAAGAAUUCUGGAAACAGCGGAUUCAUGGGAAAGACAAACAAUGAAUUCAUCAUUGAACUGAUACAAAGUGAACUAAACAGAACCAGGAAAACCGCACAGUGACCACAACAAUGUAAAUGGAAAGAAUGACAAAACAAUUGAAAACAGAUGUUGCUAAAUUAUAAAGAACAAUUAUGGUCCCAAAGAGAAAGUAUAAAAAAAAAAGAAAAACAUUUCCCCCUGCUCCUUUAUAGAGGUAAGGGUCCAUAGAAAAUUGCAUAGAACAUUAGGGGUUUUUUACCCCCUUUGUUGAUUGAUUUUUUUCUCUUUAAGGAAAUUCUUUAUAAUAAGAGAUGGCUUUCUUGGAGGGAAGAGAGGGAAGGAUGAAGGGAAAAGAUAGGCAAUGUAAAAACAAAACACAUCAAUGAAAUCUGUUUAAAAAAAGGAAAUGGGUAUCACACAGGGGCAAUGGAAAGGCACAUAGUAGUAGGAGUGAGUAGAGUGGAACUAGGAGGAGAAGCAGUAUAAAGAUUGUCAUUGAAGA
Non-coding RNA from Phascolarctos cinereus (koala), 612 nucleotides. NCBI's taxonomy places the organism in Eukaryota, Metazoa, Chordata, Mammalia, Diprotodontia, Phascolarctidae. The record is from RefSeq and is a predicted model, not a curated record.